UGUGGGUUGGGAGCUGUAGGGGGAGGGGCUUGGGGAUGGGUGCAGGGCUGGGUGGUCACGGAAGGGCUGCUCCGUUCCAGGGAGGAUCAGAGUCCUGCAGCUAAAGGGAAACCUAAAUCCCAAAGAGGGGUAACACUGGGCUUCAAAAGUAAAAGAAAGGGGAGAUGGAAUGAGCACCGUCAGCCUUGGUGCUCUGCAGCAGGAGGACACCCCCAGAGCCGCUGUGAUGCCGGGGACAGGUGCGUUCCCAGCAGGAGCUGACGUGUUCGUACACAUGGAGAUGGAGCCUUUGGAUCUCAGGCAUCACUGUGUCCCCUCGAUUUUCGGGAGGAGCUGAGAACUUCACUGCUCCUUCUGCUGCUGACAGUCCUCCCCAGCUCAGCGCCCGCAGCCCCCUCCAUCGCAGCCUCCAGUUCAUCUCCAUUCUUGGCGCUUGCACAAUGAGGAAAUUGGCCAGCACUUCCAUAGCAGCCAUCAACUUUCCAGGGAUGUUGCAUGGAUUUUCCAGCCAGGGAUGGAACAGCCUCAGCAACCCUUCAAUCCGCCAGCCCGGGACUGCAGCUCUGCAUUAGGAAGGAGCAGACAGCAUUUAAAGGAGCAUCUGUAGGCAGAUCCUCCAGCACAGACACAGCCUUGCGUUAUGUUAUUGCAUCAGAGAAUGGACUUUACAUGCAUAUUACCCGGGUAUGACCAGCUAGGAAGUUUUCUUUCUAGAGCAGGAAAUGGGGAAACUUUCAUUAUUUUGUUUAACAAACCAGGUGCACGAAGCAAAAAGCCUCCACGCUGCGAGCGCCCAGCAAGUUCGUGCCGGCUGCACCUGAUGGUUUUAAUAUCACUGGACAAACUGCUCACUAAUAGAUUUUAUGUGGUGGCCACACAGGAAGGCCCCUGUGUGUGUCCCCUACCCUUAAUAUUCGCCGUCCGUUGCGGGGCUGUCGGUGAUGCUGGAAUCAUUUUGCCAUCAGCCUGCGGUCGGAUCUGCUGCUCUCUUCCUGGGCAUCUUCCGAGUGCAAAAUGCACCGAGGGGAAAGCUGCAGCGUCCUGCCCUGCGCCGUGGCCUGGCGGACGCCUGCGGGUCUGCAAAACCCAUCACGAGCUUUGCAGAGCUGGUGCAAACCCGCAGCAAGGCGAGUGCAUCAGGAUGCAAGCAAGGUGGUGGGGAAUGCAAACUGGUGGCAUGCACCGUGGUGUCCCCGUGUCCUUUCCCCGUCCCCCUGCGCCUGCCCCUCGCCCUGUUUGCUGCUCGCCCUCCUUUGUUCCCGAACCAUAUUUCUCAUCUCGUCUUGCUGCGAGCCAUGCGGAGGAGUGCUGCCUUUCAAACACGCCAUCCUGCGUCAGCCCCGGCCUCUUUGUUUCUUUUUAGCGUGCUCAGCUUCGUGCUGGGAGAGCGGGGCUUUUUCCAGCCAGGACGGUUCGGAGCAUGGGACGUGUGCGGAAUGAGCGAUGCCGGAGCUUCGGGCUCAGCCAGGGCUGGAAAAACCCCACUCUUUGCUUUGGGCUUGAAGCAAAACCACCUCCUCCACCUCCCUGUGGCUGUGCUUUAAAUCUGGGAAACAGCACGCGUGCAGCAUUCGGUGACACUGAGAGCCCAUAACUCAGGGGAUGAACGCUGCAGCAGAUCCAUUCCCCGGCACGGCCGGCGCUGUGCGUGGGGCACCUGGAUCCUGCUGCCUCCUCGCAUCAAUCUCCCGGCUGGGAUUUGUCCAAAACCAAAAGGUUUGGAGCAAGCUGGAAAAACAGCGUGAGGUCCCUGGGCACUGCACAGACCGCAGCGUCCUCCAGCCCUGAGAUGAGCAGAGGCUCACGAUCGUGCUGCUCCCAGGAACAAUUUAUAGCCUGGGGUCUGUGUGUCCUGCUCUGGAAUAAGAAAGUAUUCCUAUUCCCAUGGCCUGAAUUCAUUAUAUUGAAGAUAAGGGAUUCUGCGUUAGAACAAAAAGAAUCUCCGCAGCAGUUUGGAAGGGGAAUCUUUCUAGAGAUGAAAUUAAAUCUCAAAACAAAUCCGAGACCAGGCACAGAGACCAAGCCCGGGGAGAUGGCUGACCAAGGGUUGACCACGAGCCAGCAGUGUGCCCUAUGGCCAGAAGGCCGAUAGUAAUCUGGUUGGCCAACGGUUGACCAAGGUUGACCACAGGUUGACUGGAGCACUGGGCCAAGUGCUGGGCUCCCCAGUCCCAGCCAGACUGGAAACUGCUGGAGAGAGCCCCAUGGAGGGUGCAGAGCUGGAGAUCUCCCGAUGGGGAAAUGCUGAGAGCCGCGGGGCUGUUCGCUUGGAGGAGAGAAGGUCGAGAGGGCAUCUGAUCAAUGCUGUACCAAAACCAAACACUGGGGUCAUUGCUGGCAGCCACCCCCAUCCCUUCCAUGCUGUGGGGUGACAGCAGCGCUGGGGACACAGCCUGGGGCUCAGCGACCCCCGCCGCGUCCUGCACACGAUGCAGCCACAUCACUGCGCAGGGAAGAGGAUGAGGGCCCUUCUCAAGGUGACCAGCUUCUUAUUUUUGGCCGCUUUCCCCCUACCACUGGAGCCGAGCCAGGCUGCGAGCUGUUGAAGUUUUUAGGCCCUUUGUUUAAUCGAAGCGAUGUUUGUUUUUGAUCACAGGCAUUAGAUAGGCACUUCCUCUGCAGGCAGGAAGCAGUGAUUUCCUGUUCACUCGUCGGCCAACUCUCACUGCGCAGGAAACCUCGCUCUGCUGAGUGUUCACUUUUCGUGCAGCGUUUUUGGAAGCCCUCUCGUGGGGUUGUUUUGUUUUCUCUUUCCCUGCUCCGGUGCUGUUGGGUUCCCACAGGGGCUGAGCGCUGGUGGUGCCAUUUCCCCACGUUUGGCUUGCAAUCUCCCCACGAGGUCCAAGGGGAAGCAGGGAAGACAGCGUCACUGUUUUGAUGGUGUUUGUCACCACUGCGUGACAACAGUGUCACUAUUUGGAUGGGGUUUGUCACCGUUGUGAUGGGGUUUGCCACUGUUUGGAUGGGGUUUGCCAUCAGUUUUGUGCUACCACCACCAGCACGGGCGCAUCCCUCUGCUUUCAUGGACCUGCUCGGUGCAGAUCCACGCCUACAAGCACCCAGUUCAUCUCUCCCUGCGGUUUGGUUGGUGUCUGUGUGUUGUUCUGGAUGCAGACUGCUGUUGAGGAGGGUGCAUUUGCACCAGGUGGCCUAACCAACUUGCUGUCACGUGCAGAGUUGAAGCAGGGAGCUGGACCAAGCCUGCCCCAAUUGCCCCUUUCCUUGCUGGGACCUUUAGGCAGAGGUUGCUCUGUGGGGAUGCAGCAGGUGAAUGCCGUUGCUGAUUACCCAUUAAAUUAGUGUGAGAACUCUGCUGUGGGUACAUAGCUUAUGCUUCCCAGCUGCUUUGCAAGUGCCAGCAGCUCACUCCUCAUCUCUGCAAUGCUCUGCUGGCUUUGUUCCCUUCUGGCUGCAGCUGUGUGCCCAGGUUAGUCCGUGAAGCAUAAGGGAUGGGGACAGAACUGAUGCUGCUUCCCACGUGGAGAGGUGCUUCUGAGGUGGAAAAGAGCAGCCCAAUGUGGAGCUUUUAAGUUGGUGCCUAGAGAGAAGGCAAAAAGUCUACGCGAAGCUCUGAGCAACGCAGAGGCAGAUGGUUUCCAUCACUAAACCCAAAGAGAGAAUGUCUCCUGGGUGACAUGGUGUUGCCCUUAGCUCCUGGCUGGAUGAGGAUCCCAGGGCAAUGCAAUGCCUCCCAGCUGAGCUGAUGGGCAGCAAGCAGAGCAAAAGGAGCUGCCAGACCUGGCGCCAGGACUCAGCCAUUGGUUUUCCUAAAGCCAUCCGAAGCCAUUCUGGAGUCAGCGGUCACCAAAAGCCCUGCAGGGAGCGUGGGGGCUUUGGGAAGGAAGCAUCAGGUGUUGUGCUGCAGUGGGGUUGGGACGCUGAUGUUCAAGGCAGCCUUUGUUCGGGCGGGAAUUACAACCAGACCUCUCUCCUGCAGCGGUCAGAGUGGAGGUGUUUCCCCAGGGGAAAGCUGGAAGCUUUACUCUCAGAUCCUCCAGAACUGGAGGAAGCACGCCGUGUCCUGCCCUGACCACAAAGGCUGCAUCCGCCCCCCCUGUGCACGAGCAGUGUGCAAAGAGCUCCAUGAAGGCUCCAAGCAGCCGGAGCCUCUGCCAUGCCUGCUGGAUUCAGGCGGCCUUCGUGCUGCGUCCGUGCUGCAGGACGAGCCCAUCUCCUCCUUAGGUUCUUCAUUCAUUCAUGCCUUUGCGUGCAGCCCAGCCCCCCCCAGCAAGCAGCGGCCCACGAGCAGGUUGAGCAGCACACUCAUCCGGGGAUGCGCUGGAAAAUAAAACACGGGAGCUUUCUGGUUUUGCAUACCCCAUCCGGGGGCACGGUGCAGGCGCCGAGCAUGGAAAGUGGCGGCAUGACACAUCAGCACUCUUGUUUUGGUCUCACUUUGCUCGAUACCUCGCUCAGCGCCGCGGUCGCUUCACCCACCCAGUAAACAACGGCACGAGCGCGGGGAGCUGGCGGCUCCCUCCCGGCUGUGGGUGUCGGAGGGUUAAAAAUAGACUCCAGAUUUCGGUUGGUGAAUGUGGAGGCAGAGAGCAGAGCGCUGUUUAUCAAUGCCAGGGUUUCCCCUGAGACGCUGAAAUGAGUCAGAUAAGGGAUGGGUACAACCGUGCUCCACGCACGGGUCCAUCCUGGGAGCGUUGUGCUGAGGUCCCUAGGGAUGUUUGGCGUGGAUGGGUUCCUACAGGAUACUUUGCGGCGUCCUACCCAUCCUCACCCUGCUGUAAGCAUCAUGCUCUGCUGCUAAACCGCCCAUCCUCAGCCAUGAAAGCACCACGGGCUGCUCAGCUGGCUCAGUUUCUCGCUGCGUUUUGAGCCCAGGCAGGGGGAUGGCUGAGGAGCGUGGUCUCCCAAAGGGACCCAAAUGGCUGCAAGGUGCGCCAGGUUUCUGGCACUGGGGAGCCUGGAGGGGCACCAGCCUUCUGCAACAGCACUGCAGGAGUUGGCUCCGACCUUCCUACCCGGUGCAAAACAAAUUGCUUCCGAGGCAGAGGUCACCGAGCUCCGUGAUGCUGUGAUUUCAGAGAAGCACAGGGGAGGAUUUUGCUGUCCCUGUUGCUGAGCUGCUGACAUUUGGGACUUUCAGAGCAGCUGUGCUGUGAGGAGAGCUGCUGGGUCCCCGGGAGCAGCGUGGUGCCAUCGCUGCUGCUUGCUGGAACCUGAGGACUCAAAUGGCACGGAGGGCUGCUGGUGCUGCUGCAGCUCUUUGUGGCCCCAGUGAAAUUAGGACACGCAUUUUGGGGUGAUGCAGACCUGGCUGCCCACUGCCUAGGGCAGAGGGAACAUGCAUUUGGGGCACCCCAGGCUGGGUUUGUGCACAGUGGGGGCAGCGUGCUGCUGUUAGCAGAGGAGCAAACCGCUCCCUGGCAGUGUUUCUGAGGUCGGGUUGGCAGCUGCUUCGGCUCAGCCCCAUGGGGUGGGAGAUGGGGCUGAAACCGCUCCCCAUUUCCAUGCUGGCCCCUCUUGUGUCUCCAUGCCUCCUGCACUGGCAUCACCACCCCACCCCAUCCUCCUCAGCAUCCUCAUCCAAUUCCUUCAGCAUCCUUGUCCCCAUCCCAUCCUCCUCAGCAUCCCCAUCCCAUUCCUUCAGCGUCCUCAUCCCUGUCCCAUCCCAGUCCCACCCAUCCCCUCUCCCUUUGCACCACUGCAGCAACGUCUGCGCGCGAGGCCCUCGGGAUCCCUUUUUCUCCCAGGGACAACGUUUUGGAGGAGGGAUGGGGCCGCUUCCGGGGGCAUCCCGUGCUGUGGGAUCUGGGCUGGGCCGUGGGGCUGGGUGAACGGAGCACUUCUUCACACCCGACGCUUCGCUGGUGGAAGUGGCAGCGGCUUCCUGUUUGACUCACACCUGAUGGCCCCACUGCAUGAGUCGGGGCCUCUCGGCGCUUGCAGCAACUGAAUGGGGCUGUUUACAAUUAGAGAACAUGGGAUUCCCAGAAAGAGGCUCAGACCGGACAUCCUGAAGCGAAAUACCCCGGGCGUCACCGGCUAAAAAUAACCACAGCAGAACAGUCACCAAACAAACAGCGCGGCUGCAUUGGGUGCUGGGCUCGAUCCCAUGGCACGGGGGGGACGGGGACUGGGGGGGAGGAGGGGGGAAAUAUAACAGCCUUUCCUUCCCAUGUUGUGUUUUUUGGGCAUAACAAAGUGAUGCUCCGAAGCGGCAGUGGCGAGCAGUGAUUUCUCUCGGUUUCUGUCUUUGUUUGUGGACGGGGGGGGAGAAGGGGGGGGCACAAGGGAGGGGCUAAAAUAUAAAUGAAGCCGUUUCCAGCCGGGACCGAUGUGCUGUGGGGCAGAGGACCCCGUGGACAGCGUUGCUAUGGGGUGAAGGGUGGGAUCCUGCCGC
Numida meleagris (helmeted guineafowl) is the source of this 6355-nucleotide long non-coding RNA. RefSeq lists it as uncharacterized. The transcript has 2 exons. NCBI's taxonomy places the organism in Eukaryota, Metazoa, Chordata, Aves, Galliformes, Numididae. The record is from RefSeq and is a predicted model, not a curated record.